UACAGAGGAUGCAAGCGUUAUCCGGAAUGAUUGGGCGUAAAGCGUCUGUAGGUGGCUUUUUAAGUCCGCCGUCAAAUCCCAGGGCUCAACCCUGGAAUGCCGGUGGAAACUGUCGAGCUCGAGUCCGGAAGAGGCGAGUGGAAUUCCUGGUGUAGCGGUGAAAUGCGCAGAUAUCAGGAGGAACACCAAUGGCGAAGGCAGCUCGCUGGGACGGUACUGACACUGAGACGCGAAAGCGUGGGGAGCAAACAGG
RNAcentral lists this ribosomal RNA (253 nucleotides) under uncultured bacterium. Its description in RNAcentral is "partial 16S ribosomal RNA". It matches the Rfam family "Bacterial small subunit ribosomal RNA", at positions 524 to 776 of the family's 1533-position model. The record is from RNAcentral.